This 87-nucleotide transfer RNA is filed under the name Candidatus Falkowiibacteriota bacterium. RNAcentral describes it as "tRNA-Leu". It matches the Rfam family "tRNA". From Rfam's summary of the family: Transfer RNA (tRNA) molecules are approximately 80 nucleotides in length. Their secondary structure includes four short double-helical elements and three loops (D, anti-codon, and T loops). Lineage: Bacteria; Candidatus Falkowiibacteriota. The record is from RNAcentral.
GCCGCGGUGGCGGAACUGGUAGACGCGCUGGACUCAAAAUCCAGUGAUGGCGACAUUGUGAGAGUUCGAGUCUCUCCCGCGGCACCA